Molecule: ribosomal RNA, 444 nt
Filed under: uncultured bacterium
Lineage: Bacteria
Description: bacterial SSU rRNA
Rfam family: Bacterial small subunit ribosomal RNA
Source: RNAcentral
GUGAGGAAUAUUGGUCAAUGGGCGAGAGCCUGAACCAGCCAAGUCGCGUGAGGGAAGAAUGGUCUAUGGCCUGUAAACCUCUUUUGUCAAGGAAGAAUAAGCGGCACGAGUGCCACCUUGCCAGUACUUGACGAAUAAGCAUCGGCUAACUCCGUGCCAGCAGCCGCGGUAAUACGGGGGAUGCGAGCGUUAUCCGGAUUUAUUGGGUUUAAAGGGCGCGUAGGCGGGACGGCAAGUCAGCGGUAAAAGACUGCAGCUAAACUGUAGCACGCCGUUGAAACUGUCGACCUGGAGACGAGACGAGGGAGGCGGAACAAGUGAAGUAGCGGUGAAAUGCAUAGAUAUCACUUGGAACCCCGAUAGCGAAGGCAGCUUCCCAGGCUCGGUCUGACGCUGAUGCGCGAGAGCGUGGGUAGCGAACAGGAUUAGAAACCCUUGUAGUCC